Molecule: transfer RNA, 82 nt
Filed under: Bacteroidia bacterium
Lineage: Bacteria; Pseudomonadati; Bacteroidota; Bacteroidia
Description: tRNA-Leu
Rfam family: tRNA
About the family: Transfer RNA (tRNA) molecules are approximately 80 nucleotides in length. Their secondary structure includes four short double-helical elements and three loops (D, anti-codon, and T loops).
Source: RNAcentral
GCCCGGAUGGCGGAAUUGGUAGACGCGCUGGUCUCAAACACCAGUAACGCAAGUUGUGCCGGUUCGACCCCGGCUCCGGGUA